UGAAUUUUCUCUUUUCUGGUUAUUUUUAAUUCAUUUUAAAUAGUUUUUGAUAUUCAAAAAAUACAAUAAUAUUUUCCUAACCUAUUUGAAUGAUGAUGGAUCUAUGAAAAAUAUUCUCAUCAAUUUUCAAAUUGAUUUGAGAUUUUAAUUCAAUUAGGUUAUUUUUAUUCAUUUUUAAUUGAUUAAAAAUAGUUUCUGACUUUUAAAAAUGCUGAAAUUUUUUGUCAAACUUUGUUUGACCUUGUUGAACUUAGGAUAAAUUAC
Molecule: long non-coding RNA, 264 nt
Filed under: Lathyrus oleraceus (garden pea)
Lineage: Eukaryota; Viridiplantae; Streptophyta; Magnoliopsida; Fabales; Fabaceae
Description: Pisum sativum (pea) long non-coding RNA (PSAT_LNC035945)
Source: RNAcentral